AUGUUCACCUUUUCAGUCCUCUCGUGCUUAGGAGAACCCUUUCUAUCUUUCUCAUUUGCCUUGUCAAUUCUCUUGUGCUUAGGAAAACAUGUUCAUUCGUUCUUUUUUGGCUAAACAUUGUCUAUUGGUUAAUGCCACGUUCUUUUAUUCUCUUUGGCUAACUACCAUAUAUUGGUUAAUGUCACACUUUUUCUAUUCAAGCAAUUUUCUUUGACUUUUG
This 220-nucleotide long non-coding RNA is filed under the name Lathyrus oleraceus (garden pea). RNAcentral's name for it is "Pisum sativum (pea) long non-coding RNA (PSAT_LNC005506)". Lineage: Eukaryota; Viridiplantae; Streptophyta; Magnoliopsida; Fabales; Fabaceae. The record is from RNAcentral.